RNAcentral lists this ribosomal RNA (804 nucleotides) under Calotelea sp. OSUC 420720. RNAcentral describes it as "partial 28S ribosomal RNA". It matches the Rfam family "Eukaryotic large subunit ribosomal RNA", at positions 486 to 919 of the family's 3401-position model. Lineage: Eukaryota; Metazoa; Arthropoda; Insecta; Hymenoptera; Scelionidae. The record is from RNAcentral.
CCCGAAAGUCGAAUGGGGAGAUUCAACGUCAACGGAGUCGUUUUCCUUGUGGAUUGUGAUGUUUGAAGCAAUACUUUUAUCGGUAUUUGUUGAUUUCACGCAUUCACAUUGGUUACGUUUACGUCGGCGUGCACUUCUCCUCUAGUAGAACGUCGCGACCCGCUGGGUGUCGGUUUAAGGACUGAGAUUGUCGACUGUUUCGCGUUACGUGUUAAUAGCGCGUACACGUGUUAACAGACGCUCGGAUUCCCGACCGGCUGCUCGGCGGUAUGUACUUAUGGUAUUGAGCCGCACAAAAGCGCUUUUUGUGUUUGAAUGCGUUCAGACUCGUUGCAAGCCCGAUCAUCUUUUCUUAACCUGGAUGUGCGGACCUAGUGCCGUCCCCGGGGGUGAUUAGCUGUUGGUUUAACGAUGUUCUCGAACUGGCUUAUUUAUAAUAUAUAAAAAUACCGGUCAGCGACGCUAUUGCUUUGGGUACUUUCAGGACCCGUCUUGAAACCCGGACCAAGGAGUCUAACAUGUGCGCAAGUCAUUGGGAUAAUAAAACCUAAAGGCGUAUUGAAAGAGAAGAUCGGCCUUGUGUCGAUUGAGGGAAGAUGGGUAACAAAUUGUUUUUAUUAACAAAAAUGUUACCUCGCAUUCCCGGGGCGUCUCGUUGUCAUUGCGACUUGAGGCGCACCCAGAGCGUACACGUUGGGACCCGAAAGAUGGUGAACUAUGCCUGGUCAGGACGAAGUCAGGGGAAACCCUGAUGGAGGUCCGUAGCGAUUCUGACGUGCAAAUCGAUCGUCGGAACUGGGUAUA